RNAcentral lists this ribosomal RNA (497 nucleotides) under uncultured bacterium. RNAcentral describes it as "partial 16S ribosomal RNA". It matches the Rfam family "Bacterial small subunit ribosomal RNA", at positions 28 to 507 of the family's 1533-position model. The record is from RNAcentral.
GAUGAACGCUGGCGGCGUGCCUAAUACAUGCAAGUCGAGCGAACGGACGAGAAGCUUACUUCUCUGAUGUUAGCGGCGGACGGGUGAGUAACACGUGGAUAACCUACCUAUAAGACUGGGAUAACUUCGGGAAACCGGAGCUAAUACCGGAUGAUAUUUUGAACCGCAUGGUUCAAAAGUGAAAGACGGUCUUGCUGUCACUUAUAGAUGGAUCCGCGCUGCAUUAGCUAGUUGGUAAGGUAACGGCUUACCAAGGCAACGAUGCGUAGCCGACCUGAGAGGGUGAUCGGCCACACUGGAACUGAGACACGGUCCAGACUCCUACGGGAGGCAGCAGUAGGGAAUCUUCCGCAAUGGGCGAAAGCCUGACGGAGCAACGCCGCGUGAGUGACGAAGGUCUUCGGAUCGUAAAACUCUGUUAUUAGGGAAGAACAUAUGUGUAAGUAACUGUGCACAUCUUGACGGUACCUAAUCAGAAAGCCACGGCUAACUACGUG